GACGAACGCUGGCGGCGUGCUUAACACAUGCAAGUCGAACGGAAAGGCCCUGCUUUUGUGGGGUGCUCGAGUGGCGAACGGGUGAGUAACACGUGAGUAACCUGCCCUGGACUUUGGGAUAACUUCAGGAAACUGGGGCUAAUACCGGAUAGGAGCUCCUGCUGCAUGGUGGGGGUUGGAAAGUUUCGGCGGUUGGGGAUGGACUCGCGGCUUAUCAGCUUGUUGGUGGGGUAGUGGCUUACCAAGGCUUUGACGGGUAGCCGGCCUGAGGGGGUGACCGGCCACAUUGGGACUGAGAUACGGCCCAGACUCCUACGGGAGGCAGCAGUGGGGAAUAUUGCACAAUGGGCGGAAGCCUGAUGCAGCAACGCCGCGUGCGGGAUGACGGCCUUCGGGUUGUAAACCGCUUUCGCCUGUGACGAAGCGUGAGUGACGGUAAUGGGUAAAGAAGCACCGGCUAACUACGUG
RNAcentral lists this ribosomal RNA (468 nucleotides) under uncultured bacterium. RNAcentral's name for it is "partial 16S ribosomal RNA". It matches the Rfam family "Bacterial small subunit ribosomal RNA", at positions 28 to 507 of the family's 1533-position model. The record is from RNAcentral.